Molecule: unclassified non-coding RNA, 304 nt
Filed under: plant metagenome
Description: partial contains 5.8S ribosomal RNA, internal transcribed spacer 2, and large subunit ribosomal RNA
Rfam family: 5.8S ribosomal RNA (bases 1-105)
Source: RNAcentral
GAAAUGCGAUAAGUAAUGUGAAUUGCAGAAUUCCGUGAAUCAUCGAAUCUUUGAACGCACAUUGCGCCCCCUGGCAUUCCGGGGGGCAUGCCUGUCCGAGCGUCAUUUCUGCCCUCAAGCACGGCUUGUGUGUUGGGUGUGGUCCCCCCGGGGACCUGCCCGAAAGGCAGCGGCGACGUCCGUCUGGUCCUCGAGCGUAUGGGGCUCUGUCACUCGCUCGGGAAGGACCUGCGGGGGUUGGUCACCACCAUAUUUCACCACGGUUGACCUCGGAUCAGGUAGGAGUUACCCGCUGAACUCAAGC